This 1420-nucleotide long non-coding RNA is filed under the name Ananas comosus (pineapple). Its description in RNAcentral is "long non-coding RNA (ACOM_LNC028718)". The record is from RNAcentral. Lineage: Eukaryota; Viridiplantae; Streptophyta; Magnoliopsida; Poales; Bromeliaceae.
UAUUUAAUAUGGAAAACUUCAAAUACCACCCCUGCGAUUUCAUAUUUUUUCACUUUAGUAUCCUGUGCUUUAAAGUAUAUCAAUCUAGUAUCUUCUGAUUUCUCACUUUUUCACUUCAGUACCCUGUGGUUUAAAGUGCAUUAAUUCAGUACCUUAUGGUUUCAUUUUUCUCUUUUAGUCGGCUCCUCUGUUAAUAUUUCGUUAAAUUAUAUACAAAAAACUUCAAAUACUCUACCUAGGUUUAUCAAAUAUUUAUUUUAGUACUCUAAUUUUGUCACUGGUUUUUUCCCUCUAUUAAUAUUUCGUUAAUUAUAUACAAAAAACUUUAGAUAUCCUACAUAGAUUUAUCGAAUAUUCACUUUAGUAUUUUUUAAUUUUAACUUUGUCACUGAUUUAACGAAAAAAAUUAGUGAAAUGGACAAUAAAAAGAGAAAAAUAAAAACACAGGAUACUAACUUGAUACACUUGUGGUAUACUAAAGUGAAAAAGUGUGAAACCACAGAACCUAACUUGAUACACUUUAAAUCAUAGAAUAUUAAAGUGAGAAAACGUGAAACCACGGAGUAUUCGAAGUUUACCCUAUAUAAUAAAGUGUUAUCUAAAAAAUAAUAAACAAAUAUACUAAUUAAUUAAUAUAAAAAUUUUAAUUAAUUAGUACAAAUAUUUUAAAAUCUAUUAACCUAUAUGAAUCCUCAAUGAUUUUGCCAUGUGGCAAGUUUUCCUCCACCCUCACUAACCUUUUUUUAAAAUUAAUCUUUAUCAUGGCUUUUCCCCUCCCCUUCUCUCUAUUCAAUGACAUAUAAUCAAUGUGCUUUUAAUUUAUACGUUACUGAGUUUUUCCUCUUCAAUAUAAGUUCUUUCUUCUCCCUCAAACAAUUCUUAAUAUGCAAAAUUAAAAGAGGAGAGGUUAGUUUUGAUUUCAUAAUUGAUGUGGCAGUUCUAACCAUUUCAUGCUCAAAAGGGUGCAAAAUCAUGCAAACUUCUAUAAGAUUUUCAUCGCCAUCGUCGUCAUGAUUGCAACAUUAUCAUCUCCAUCUUCAUACGACUUUUGUAGAUUUUUUCUUUAAAUGGUGAUUCUAGACAAUUAUCAAUUUCAAUGGUUAUAUUGGUUAGUUCAAUUCAUAUAUUUUCCUACCUAAAAAAUAAAACACACUUGAAUUUUUAUUUUCCAAACUCCUUUCUUCAUCCUCUUUAAUAUUUUUUAUUUUUUCUUUUAUUAUUUAUCCGCCGCAUCGCGCGGGUUACUACACUAGUAUUAUAUAGAUUUGCCAACAUUUGGGACCCAAAGCAUUUUCCCCUCUUAAUUGAAGGGAAUCCUAAAAGCAAACAUACAAUUUAUUGUUCCCUGCCACCAACUCCUUACACUUAACUAUUCCAACAAACCAAAAUAAUUUUUACAUCACCAACAAAUUCAACCAUU